UACGUAGGUGGCAAGCGUUGUCCGGAUUUAUUGGGCGUAAAGCGAGUGCAGGCGGUUCAAUAAGUCUGAUGUGAAAGCCUUCGGCUCAACCGGAGAAUUGCAUCAGAAACUGUUGAACUUGAGUGCAGAAGAGGAGAGUGGAACUCCAUGUGUAGCGGUGGAAUGCGUAGAUAUAUGAAAGAACACCAGUGGCGAAGGCGGCUCUCUGGUCUGCAACUGACGCUGAGGCUCGAAAGCAUGGGUAGCGAACAGG
This 253-nucleotide ribosomal RNA is filed under the name uncultured bacterium. Its description in RNAcentral is "partial 16S ribosomal RNA". It matches the Rfam family "Bacterial small subunit ribosomal RNA", at positions 524 to 776 of the family's 1533-position model. The record is from RNAcentral.